UACAGAGGUCUCAAGCGUUGUUCGGGUUCAUUGGGCGUAAAGGGUGUGUAGGCGGCGCGGUAAGUCGGGUGUGAAAUCUCGGAGCUUAACUCCGAAACUGCAUUCGAUACUGCCGUGCUUGAGGACUGGAGAGGAGACUGGAAUUUACGGUGUAGCGGUGAAAUGCGUAGAUAUCGUAAGGAAGACCAGUGGCGAAGGCGGGUCUCUGGACAGUUCCUGACGCUGAGGCACGAAGGUCAGGGGAGCAAACGGG
RNAcentral lists this ribosomal RNA (253 nucleotides) under uncultured bacterium. RNAcentral describes it as "partial 16S ribosomal RNA". It matches the Rfam family "Bacterial small subunit ribosomal RNA", at positions 524 to 776 of the family's 1533-position model. The record is from RNAcentral.